RNAcentral lists this microRNA (21 nucleotides) under Xenopus laevis (African clawed frog). RNAcentral describes it as "Xla-Mir-551-P2b_5p* (star (passenger))". Lineage: Eukaryota; Metazoa; Chordata; Amphibia; Anura; Pipidae. RNAcentral also lists the same sequence under 1 other name. The record is from RNAcentral.
GAAAUCAAGCUUGGGUUAGAC